CCUACGGGUGGCAGCAGUGGGGAAUCUUCCGCAAUGGGCGAAAGCCUGACGGAGCAACGCCGCGUGAUCGAAUGAAGGCCUGCGGGUUGUAAAGAUCUGUUGACAGGGACGAAUAAGCAAUGCGAAUAGUUUUGUGUAUGACGGUACCUGUUCAGAAAGCUCCGGCUAACUACGUGCCAGCAGCCGCGGAAAUACGGAGGGAGCAAGCGUUGUCCGGAAUUACUGGGCGGAAGGGGUGCGUAGGUGGGCGCUUAAGUCGGGUGGGAAAACUCCGGGCUAAACCUGGAGACUGCACUUGAGACUGGGUGUCUUGAGGGCAGGAGAGGAAAGUGGAAGGCCUAGUGUAGCGGUGAAAUGCGUAGAUAUUAGGAGGAACACCAGUGGCGAAGGCGGCUUUCUGGACUGUACCUGACGCUGAGGCGCGAAAGCGUGGGUAGCGAACAGGAUUAGAUACCCCGGUAGUC
This 464-nucleotide ribosomal RNA is filed under the name uncultured bacterium. RNAcentral describes it as "partial 16S ribosomal RNA". It matches the Rfam family "Bacterial small subunit ribosomal RNA", at positions 338 to 795 of the family's 1533-position model. The record is from RNAcentral.